RNAcentral lists this long non-coding RNA (339 nucleotides) under Gossypium barbadense (sea-island cotton). Its description in RNAcentral is "long non-coding RNA (GBAR_LNC003063)". The record is from RNAcentral. Lineage: Eukaryota; Viridiplantae; Streptophyta; Magnoliopsida; Malvales; Malvaceae.
AUUAAUCAUCAAAUUAUAACAGUGUCAAUAUAUAUUUUAAAAAGAAUGGCACUCAAAAAUGAAUUCUGAAACAGAAUGGAGAAAUUUAUUUUAUUUCAUUUAAUAAUUUUAUGUAAAUAAGAAAAAGAAUAGUGAGAAAAAAAUAUAAGUAAUGCAAAGUCCCCACAAUGUGAAUGCAAUAUCUAAAAGAUGACCACAUAUGUAUGUAAAUAAAUAAAUGUGGUCCAAAAUCGUCAGUUUGAGACAACAAUGAUCAUGCCCACCAAGCUUUUAGUGAGUUCAAAGAGUUAUCCUUGUAUUGAUUUGAUAGUGAAGAGUCCUUUACAUGUGAAAUUAAAA